Molecule: long non-coding RNA, 1664 nt
Organism: Pipra filicauda (Wire-tailed manakin)
Lineage: Eukaryota; Metazoa; Chordata; Aves; Passeriformes; Pipridae
Exons: 5
Source: RefSeq, a predicted model, not a curated record
GCUACCGCCGCCCACAUAUCCAUGAGGGUCUGAGCUCAAUGUCAAAAAGUCAAGGCAGCAGAAAUGGCUCUGAGUUGCCAGGAGUCAUUUUCCCCUCAGGCCAAGGAAGGGAAUAGGUCCAUCAUGUGUUGUCUAAUGGCUGUGCAGGUCUGUUCAUUACACCAAGAAGAUCAGUACUGCAGUGCUACCCUCGGUUCUGGAGUCCCCCGUCUGGAAAGGAUGGGAUGGAUCACAGAGUGAGGCUGUGAGCGCUCAGUGCAGUAGGAGAUGUUUGGAGAAACGUUGGUGUUUAGUGCCUCCAGUGUCAGCACUGAAAUUUAACCACCUAAAUGCCAGAUCCUGCACCUAUGACAGAGUAACACCUGGUACAAGUACAAAAUGGGAGCGGAGUGGUUGGAGAGCAGCCCUACAGAGAGAGAUCUGGGGGUGCUGGUCAGCAGCAGCUCAGUGCAUAGGUUCAGAGCAAAAUGAAUGUACGCUUCUGAAAGAACAGUUGCUAAAAUCAACAGUGAGAAUUGAGAAUCUGAUUGACUUCAGUGAACCCUCAGCAAUGCCCUUUCUGCUUAAAGAUCUGCUAUAAAAAUAAGAUCUCCUCAAAUGCAUAAAAAUAAGCUACAGUCCUAAAAGAGAGCUUGGCUGAAGUCAGCUGUAUUACAACAGGUCUGGAUUUCACUCAUGGGGAACAUAGCUUUUCCUUUACACUGAACAAUCAAAUUUGCCAAACUUGUCUCUGGCAGCCAGACUUGACCAAGUGCAGUUGCUGCAGUACAGAAAGAAACAGUCCGAACUCAGCAUUUAUGGCUGUGCAGAGAUCCAGAGAUUGUCACAAGGAGAUGAGGAGGAGCCCCCUUCACCAUUUUGUUCGUCUCCCUCCCCUCAGCCAGCAAGUGGCUAAUUCUAUCCCCAGAGCUGUCCACAAUUCUCCACUGUAAACAUCAAGAAUGAUAGACCAUCCCUAUCUCUUUGCACUGACUGUAUGAAAUUUUAUGGACCAUCAAUGCUCUUAAGAGCACUCUGGAAAUGGAAUAGUAUCAUCACUCAACUCCUUGUAGGACCAGUUGUGAGAACAGUUUUGAGCAAAACUGGAUGAAGCAGUAGUUUUAGUCUUAGUUUAGGUUUCUGGGGGCUAUGCAACAGUCUUGCAGACAUUCAUGACUCUUCAGAGACCAGAGGAAAAAACAUAGAUGAUGAUGAUGAUUAAUAAUAAUAAAUUAAUAAUAAUUAUAUAGUCAAAAUAUUAAAAAGGUUGCUUUUAUUUCUCUGUGAGAAUUAAAAUGUUGACCUUUCCUUUAGUCUGAUUUAUUUGACUCAAUAAAGUGACUUAACAGUAAGUAGAGUAGGGUAACUGUACACUAAAGUGGGAGGAAAAAUCAAAUGUCAGAUAAGAAUUGCCUGAGCAAAAGAAUGUAAGACCAUCUUUUAAGUCAUGAAAGGAGUCAAAGUAAGGUUGCCAAGGAAACCUUAACUUUGCUUUUCCUACGUUGUUUUUUUUUUUUAAUUGUGAACUUAGCCUCCUCAUUGUGCCAAAAUUAAUGGGAAUUUUGAGUCCUAUCAAUUAGUCUGUGGGUUUUGUCUUUCUUCUUUGUCGCUGUUCAUUUGUCAUAUGAUAUAUUAGAAUCUGAACAUACCUUUCUGAACAUCAUUUAUGCUAUGUACAGGGAAAA